UUUCCGUAGGUGAACCUGCGGAAGGAUCAUUACAAAUCCAAACGUCUCCUUAUACGAGACCCUGUUGAAAUGUUCUGUUGCACAGCAGCGCAACAGCCCCUUUACAAUAACCUAGUGUGAACGUUGCCCAUAUGUAUGUCUCUUGAACACACAAACAAGAAACAACUUAUAACAAUGGAUCUCUAGGCUCUU
This 192-nucleotide unclassified non-coding RNA is filed under the name soil metagenome. Its description in RNAcentral is "partial contains small subunit ribosomal RNA, internal transcribed spacer 1, and 5.8S ribosomal RNA". The record is from RNAcentral.